UCCCAACAUCCUCAUCUGAUGCAGCCAAAAUGCUAGCUUCUACCAGCCUCCCAAAUAAUUCCUUUUUGAUAGCCUGUUUUUGAUGCAAUUUAAAUCCUUCUUACGGCAACUGUUAUAUACUUUUAUAGCGGGAAGUAAUGUAAAUGAGAUUAAAUCAAACUCCAUAACCUAAGCAAUAACCUCUCCCACAUCAAAACACAGCAAAAACAGCCAGGCAAAACAAAGAGAGAAAAAGGACACUUGUAGUGGUAGGCUAAUUAUUCCAAGACUUUUUAAGCAGGCACUGGGAAGAGGCUUCAAAAUUUGGGCCUUGUUUUAAAAGCACAUGGGAUAUAAUGCUGCUUUGUUUGGUUGUGUCUGAAUUUGCCCCCAGAUGAGAUGCAGAUGAGUUCAGUAAUGCUGACUGUGUAUGUUGGCAGAUGCUGGUAUAGUGUUUUAUUCAGAUGUGAAUAAAUGCUCAAACAUUGACUGAUGGUUAUAUCUGCUAUCUUCCAAAGAAGAUUUAAGUCAAUUGCUGUUUCUCCUGUAUUGUUUUUGUUUGGUUCCCUGGCUGGCCGGUCUCAGAGGUGUGUGCUGCAUGGUGGCAGCACAUGGAUUGUUUGUGUAUGAAUACGGUUGGCUGGGGUUUUGUUUUUUGUAUUUCUUUUUUAUAACACGUUCCCAGCUUUAUGUAGCCAGCUUGAUUCUUAGUGCUUGCUUUCUGUAUGUGUGUGGGCCUUUUCUUGUAUGGGAUCUAUGUCUGCCAUGUUUUCUUGAUGUGGUUAUGAGUGAAGGUUUAUGUUUUGAGUUAGUUUUAUUUGAAUUGUGGUGUUUUUUGCUUUUCAGUGUGAAUUAUCAUGGAGAUGCCGCCUUACACUUUGAGGGUCUGCCAUAUGCUAGGAAACUAAUAUAGUAAGAGUGUGAGUUGGCCGUUAACAUCUUGUAGAGCUGGGGCCAAUUUUUAUGUCUGUGUUUUGUGUAUAUCCUUUGUCCUAUUUUUGUAAUAAAUCUUUGUACCUUGAGUGACUGGAAAUGUUUCUCUUUCAACUCAUUUUGAAGGAGUGGCCCAGUGGUACACAAUGACGCAUGUAUGCCCUGCUCUGUGUUGGGCUCAGCUGCCGGACCCAUGGUCCACAUUGGAUGAGAAAUAUUAGUAAAUCCUGUACAUAUCAACCCAUGAAGACACCCAUAUCUACAGAUAUGGUAGUUUGCAUGCGUCCCAACCAACAGUUCCCAUUAUGCAUACGGUCAAGAGGAGCUGUAGGUGUUGGGUUCCUCCCUAAAUCUGCCUGCCAAGACACUUUAGAUGCUCACCAUUCCAGAGUUAAUUUGCUUUCCCCCUGUAAUACUUCUGAAUAGGACUGCAAAUCAUCUAUUCUGGUAUUGAUGCACGUUCCCUGUCUGGAACAUUGCCAUUCGAUGACAUUUUCUGGUACUGUUGGGAUCUCACAGCCCUCCAGACACUGCCCCUAUGUGGCACAUGUUAUGCUCCCCAGUCUUACUAGAAGGAUGUCUCACUGAUUUAGCUUUAAAUAGUUCAAACCUGGGGGAUCUGUUUAGUGCAGGUCACGCCUCAUGCUAUCGACACAAUGUUUCUGCUUAUUUGUGACCCAGCAAUUACUCUGCACUUUCUUUGUGGUCCGAUGACACUGAAAUUACCAUAGACUGGAAAGGGAAGCCAGUAGGCAUUCCAGAGGAGCACCGCACCUUAUCUGGAAGCUCCUCAGCAGGAUGGCCAAUUCUUCUUCCAGGGGUACAGUGUUCUGUGCAGAGCCAUGUCCAGUCCCCUGGUCCAGUGCAGGCCUGACCGCCACCAACGCACCUCUCCUGCCAGCCCACCAUAAAAGGCAUAGCCUACAUUCUUGAUGCCCCACACAGCCUAUGCACUGCCUGCACUAAACUGGACAGUUUGAGACAGACCUGUCUGACAACCUCUGGCACUCCCACAAUCUCGGCAUCUCACUGCCCCGGCACUGAAUGUCCUAUCCGGCCCUGCAUCAUCUGUCACCUGGACCACCUUGAUGGAAGAAAUGCAUCCACUGUCACUCAUCCUUGUGCAUGCUAAUAUUGUUCUUUAUUAUGGAAUAUGGCUUCAUGCAUUUUUUGAUACUGACUACCCUCUGGACAAAGGAUUAUCUCACUGAAUACAUACAUAUAUGCUACAGGACUCCAUUUUGGUGGCUCAUCAUGGGACAUAUCCAACAACAAGCCCAGCACCAGUAGUGCAAAGAUUUCAUCUGCAAAAGGCUAGGAAGCCAUUGUCUCCUCGUCAAGCGCAGACUCUGCCCUUAUGUACUCAGGUGUUUGGGCCUCUCUAGGUGGACGGCAGCACAUUUGCUCUCCCUUGCCUUGCUGGAUUUACUGUAUACAUCGCACCCAGUAUUGAUGUUGGACAUAGUUUGCUUUUUGCCCUCGGUUGCUGGACAUUGCUGUUGAAUGUUUAUCUUGUUUGUCAAAUGCACUUUGGUGACCCUGGUGAAACCGAACUCACUGUUGUGCUAUACGUGGAAUUUUUCGUUGUAUUUGGCUAUAGAGGGUUUUUCGCCCACUCCUGGUUCACCUUUUUGAGAAUGAGAAACGCAUUCAGAGGGGGGAGUAAUGUUGAUUUCCUAAAUCAGGGUGUCGAUUAGGUGUAAUUAUAUUUGGCCCGCGCAAUCAUAUCAAAUGUGCAUUACAGCUGGCUGGCCGCAUGCUCCGCUAAUACUACAAAUCCCAGAAUGCCUUGUCACUGUAUUGACAUGUAGUCACGAACAGC
This is a long non-coding RNA of Tachysurus fulvidraco (yellow catfish), 2734 nucleotides long. RefSeq lists it as uncharacterized. Lineage: Eukaryota; Metazoa; Chordata; Actinopteri; Siluriformes; Bagridae. The transcript has 5 exons. The record is from RefSeq and is a predicted model, not a curated record.